RNAcentral lists this non-coding RNA (48 nucleotides) under Schistosoma mansoni. The record is from RNAcentral. Lineage: Eukaryota; Metazoa; Platyhelminthes; Trematoda; Strigeidida; Schistosomatidae.
AUCCAGCUGACGAGUCCCCCAGGAUAGGACGAAACUCGCGUCCUGGAU